RNAcentral lists this ribosomal RNA (774 nucleotides) under Drosophila borealis. Its description in RNAcentral is "partial 16S ribosomal RNA". Lineage: Eukaryota; Metazoa; Arthropoda; Insecta; Diptera; Drosophilidae. The record is from RNAcentral.
AUUAUGCUACCUUUGCACAGUUAAAAUACUGCGGCCAUUUAAAAAUUUUCAGUGGGCAGGUUAGACUUUAAAUUUAUUUCAAAAAGACAUGUUUUUGUUAAACAGGCGAAUAUUAUUUUAGCCGAAUUCUUUAUUUAAACUUAUCAUUUAAAUUUAUUUUACAAUAAAAUAUACUAAUUUUAUCAUUAUUACUUAAUUUUAAAAAUUAAAAUUAAUACCUCAAUAAAAAUUUAAAAUAUAAUAAAUAAUUUAAUUUAUAAAAUAAAUUAUAACAGAUUUUUUAAUAAUUGCUAAUUCUAAGCAUAUAUUUUUUAAAUUUAUUUAUUAUUUAUAAAAAUUUAUUUUAUAGCUUAUCCCAUAAAAUAUUAAAAUUACAAAAUUAUUUAAUUAAAAAAUUUUUUAAAUAAAUUUAUAACUUCUAAAUUAAAUUUAUUUCUUGAAAAACUAGAUACCUUUAAAAACGAAUAACAUUUCAUUUCUAAUAUAAUAUUAAAAAUAAUUUUAUUACAUUAACUUUUAUAUUAUAUUAACUCUUUUAAAAUCGAGAAAAAUAUAUUUAAAUAUUUUUUAUUUAAUAAACGCUGAUACACAAGGUACAAUAAAUUAAAUCUUCUUUUAAAAUAAAAAUUUUUCAAAAUAUUUCAAUUUUCUUUUACAAUACUACUAAACUAUUAUUAAAAUUAUUUUUUCUUUAAACAAUACUAAAACUUUUUAUUAUAUAAUUAUUUUUAAUAUUUUCAUUUAAAAUUUAUAAAAUUAAUAAAUAAAAUCUAA